GUCCACGGAGAAACACGAGAAGCAACGAAUAAUCCCGUCUUGAGUGCCUGCCUGCCUCACCCAGUUUCCCCAGGCGCUUUCCAUCCGAGCAAAGGCAAAUGGCGAGCCCAGGAGGACCCAAACCGGGGGAAGAUGCCAAUUACGCGUAGAUUAGAUUAUGUCCUGGCGGCCUGCCCUGCCGCAAAAGCCUUCGAUGCAGCUGUCGGACUUGGAACGGGUCAUGCAAGGAGGAUUUUGAAGGCAGGAAACUUGUGAAGAAACUGCCGCCCAAGCAAAACAAAACAGAGUUCUCAAGCCGGCAGCGCAGAGUCGUCGCAUCGCAGCUCGAUCAUUGCAGUUGCAUCCCCAACCAUCGGAGCGUUUCCCCCGAUGAUCCCCUUCUCCCUCCUCGCCGUCCUCCUCGUCGGCGCCGCCAUCCAAAUCCACGGCGCCGACGCUCUGCCAGGGCACCAGAUAAACUGCGGCGCGGGCUCCGAGCACGCGGCCGGGAACGUGACAUGGGUUCCCGACGGCCGGUUCGUCACCGUCGGCAACGCCACCGACAUCAAGUCCCCGGGCACGAUGCCGAUGCUGUCGUCGCUCCGGUACUUCCCGGACACCUCGGCCAGGAAGUACUGCUACGUUCUCCCCGCGGAGAAGAAGGCCAAGUACCUGGUCCGGACGACCUACUUCUACGGCGGCUUCGACGGCGGCGAGUCCCCGCCGGUGUUCGACCAGAUCAUCGAGGGCACGCGCUGGAGCCAGGUCGACACGGCCGCCGACUACGCCAUGGGCCGCGCCACGUACUACGAGGCCGUGGUGCGCGCCAUGGGCAAGGAGGUCAGCGUUUGCCUUGCCAGGAGCGCCGCCACCGCGCCCGGGAAAAGCCCCUUUAUCUCCGCGCUCGAGGUGGUGCCGUUGGAGGACUCCGUGUACAACUCCACCGACUUCGCGUCCUACGCCCUUAGCACGAUCGCGCGCCACAGCUUCGGCCACGACGGCUCCUCCGUCAUCAGCAACCCGGGCGAUCAGUUCAACCGGUAUUGGGAACCGUACAGCGAUGGGAGUCGCCCGGUGGUGGAGAGCCAGGGGAGCGUGGAGCCGGCGGCGUUGUGGAACAAGGCGCCGGAGGACGUGUUUCGGAGAGGCGUGACGGCCAGCCGAGGCGAGACCCUGGAGCUCCAGUGGCCGCCGGCGCUUCUCCCCGCCGCGAACUACUACCUGGCGCUCUACUUCCAGGACAACCGGACGCCGAGCCCGCUCAGCUGGAGAGUCUUCGACGUGGCGGUCAACGGCCAGGCGUUCUUCGCCGGUCUGAACGUGUCGACGGCUGGCUCGAUGCUGUACGGUGCCCAAUGGCCGCUCUCCGGGCAGACGAAGAUCACGCUGACGCCUGCCCCGGGAUCGCCGGUCGGGCCGGUGAUCAAUGCGGCGGAGCUCAUGAUGGUUGUUCCGCUCGGAGGGAGGACUAAUCCUAGAGAUGUGAUCGGCAUGGAGGCGCUCGCGAGAGGCUUCGUCAGUCCGCCAUCAGACUGGAGAGGCGAUCCUUGCUUGCCCCAGGGUAACUCAUGGACGGGUGUUGCCUGCUCUCAAGAACCGCUUGCUCGAGUAAUUUCCCUCAACCUCACAAAUUUCAAUGUUGGAGGGUCAAUAUCUGACCACAUUGCUAAUCUGACUGCAAUUUCGAGCAUUUGGCUUGCGGGGAACAAUCUGACAGGAACAAUUCCAGAUAUGAGCCCGCUACAUCAUUUGGCUUCUUUGCACCUGGAGAACAACCGGCUGACAGGGCCGAUUCUUCAAUCGCUGGGAACUCUUCCAAAGCUUCAAGAAUUGUUUGUGCAGAAUAACAAUUUACAGGGCAUCAUUCCAAGCAACCUCAAGAACAGAAUGGGCAUUACAUUCGAGUAUACGCCUGGCAAUACCCUUAGCUAACAAAAAUGUUACAAGGGACAAACAAUAGUAUGAGAAUGAGGACACGCAUAUCUGGCUGGCAAUCGUACGUGAUUUUUUUAAUGGGCCGGCCCAUCACCUGAUAAGCUGCAUCCCUGUGUCAGUGGGGGUGUGAUAGGAUUUACGGCGUGGACCGCACCAAAUGGUCCUCGUGAGCCGAGCAUCACCCCGUCGCGAUCCAGAACAAAACGGCAUUGGCCCUGUACAACCGUGGAUGGUUGAGUCGGCCUUAAGCGCUUUAGCGAAGGUCCUUUGUCACAGGCCUUGGGUAAGUUUAGGCCCAGAUUGGAGGAACAUGGAAGCCUAGGCCGAAGCGUCAAGAUAACUGUUGUUGUUCGCUAAAAAAAAGAUAACUGUUGUUGAGUGUCUCUAUUCGCAGCAAACGUUUCUUCAGACUGGGAAAAGCUGCAGAGAUAUUACUGAGGAUGAGGAGGAACGGAGCUGUACUUGUUGAUCGAGCGCAGCGUAUUAUUGGUAUUGUUGAAGUAGUAAAUUGUCUAUCCUUUUUUCAUAAGCUCAGGCUUUUGGUUCAGACGGCUAUCACAUGCAAUUCAUCAGAGCUGGAGGCCAUUCAAUAAGACCACCAACAUUGACCGUAA
Molecule: RNA transcript, 2528 nt
Organism: Brachypodium distachyon (stiff brome)
Lineage: Eukaryota; Viridiplantae; Streptophyta; Magnoliopsida; Poales; Poaceae
Gene name: probable LRR receptor-like serine/threonine-protein kinase At1g67720
Exons: 10
Source: RefSeq, a predicted model, not a curated record